GACGAACCGUCCUAACGUUAUUCGGAAUCACUGGGCUUAAAGGGUGCGUAGGCGGCCUCGCAAGUUGGGUGUGAAAGCCCUCGGCUCAACCGAGGAAUUGCGCCCAAAACUGCGGGGCUCGAGGAAGACAGAGGUGAGCGGAACUUGCGGUGGAGCGGUGAAAUGCGUUGAUAUCGCAAGGAACACCAGGGGCGAAAGCGGCUCACUGGGUCUUUUCUGACGCUGAGGCACGAAAGCCAGGGGAGCGAACGGG
RNAcentral lists this ribosomal RNA (253 nucleotides) under uncultured bacterium. RNAcentral describes it as "partial 16S ribosomal RNA". It matches the Rfam family "Bacterial small subunit ribosomal RNA", at positions 524 to 776 of the family's 1533-position model. The record is from RNAcentral.